Long non-coding RNA from Varroa destructor (honeybee mite), 1814 nucleotides. The record is from RefSeq and is a predicted model, not a curated record. Lineage: Eukaryota; Metazoa; Arthropoda; Arachnida; Mesostigmata; Varroidae.
GUGAAUUUACUACUAUUAUUAUUAAAAAUUUUCAAGAACUGGAUUAGCAGACGCCAACCGUUUUAUAUUGAGAAACUGGUCAGAAUAAUUAAUACGUUUCACCAUAUUCUCUUUCUAGAAAAAGUGCAAGAUGGAAAAUUUAUCUUGUUAUCGUACGGAAAAAUGAAACAUUGAGCUGAUUUUUUCCAUCAUGGCCACCGUUUUUCUCCUAUGUGUUUGGCAAACCACAAUGCAUUCAUCCACUGUCUCCUUGUCUUCUAUGUCAGGCAAGAUCUAAAAUCUUUUUGUCAGGCCACGACUACGUUGUUUGUCCGCCAUCUCAGCUUGAUUUGCCGCCUUGCUCCUGCUGUUGCGGACUAAGUAUGAUAUCUGAUGUUGUCGAUGCUACAUUGUGGCAUCAAGCGCUGCUGUUUUUAUUUUGCCAAUGCCGUCUACGAUGAUAGGGUGUGACCUCGGACAGUGUGGUGUGACAAUACUUAGCGACGAUCGGACGAUCUCGGACGUCGAUGCAUUUUUGUCGUUAUUUUACUGUUUGUUAUCACUGUCCUUUGCGUACGUUUGGCUCCUUUUUACUCCUUCCAAGUUUUGUUUGAUCCAGCGUCGUGCAAAGGCGUCGAAACACUUCAGCUGCAGGCUCCGAACGGUAGGCCGAACGGGAAGGCGGAAAGGCGACGCUGGCUGCGAACGGGCGCAGAACGUGAUCAGAGACCGAAAAUCGGCAUUGCAGUGGCUACCGUGACGGCCACGCUCAUCGACGCUGAUGCAGCCACCAAAAGCAGGAAACAAGUACGACCCGCUCCGCGGAAGGGUGGAGAAGAGGUAAGAAGAAAUCGAGAGCAAUCAACGCGUAGCCAGACAAAGGAUAGAACAGUAGCGUUAACGUUGACGUCGGAUGUCGGAAGACGCGGUGAAGGGAGCAGGGAACGAAGCGAAAAGGGGAGUGAAGCGUGUCUUGGAGGCUGCCGCGCGACGCGGACAGAAAAUGCCAAUUUGUUAUGGUUCGACAAUAUUUGGCAGCUAGCGGUAAUCGUUUAGAGUGCGCAACAAAUCAAUUCCAAAGCCGCGCAAGGAACAAUCAGCACGGGCACUUAAGAUCGAAGGAGAUGCAGAGGACAAGGCCACAAAAGAAUAAUCGAUUCGGAAGGUUACGUGAUGUUUCCGUACAGGGUUAGUGAUUGGAUUCACUCUGCAUCUUCCGCUAAACUGUGGCAUUAAGAGCUGAAGAAGCUUUUGGAGUGGCAAAUGAUGCGCAGUUUCAAAGUGCAGCGAAAUUGGGCAUAGACAAAAUAAGUUUGCAAACGACCAAACAAAACGAUCGUUUCAUUAUUGUUGUUGUUGUUGCUGUUCUUGUUCUUGUUGUCCGCUAGAUUUUUUUUGUUGUGUGGGUAUCAACAAUAGUUUUGCUGGAUCCGUUCGUCCUACGAAUGAUGGAGGAAAGCCGACCUCAACGACACUAGGGAGAAGACCAAAAAAGAAGUGUUAUAGUAAUGUGGGCUAAACAAGAAAUUUCAUUGAUGUUCCCAAUGCUGCUAUUGUGUGUUACACUCCUCCUAGCUUCGGAGCGGAGCUCCUUUGCUGCGUCGUCUGCCUCAGUCCGUUAUGUUUAUUUCGCUUGUCGUGAGAUUUCCCCUUCGGCUGUCGAUCACGUUUAGGCUGACACGGGUUCGUCCAUCGAUUCCUGAAGCCGUUCCUGAGUUGACGGUAUGUCAAUGAUGGUGGCCCUGACGUGCGCAAAUAGGCACUGAAACACACAGACCGAUUUAAGGGCCUCGCUAUAGUAGCUAUCACGAUAACACUGUAAACGAUGAGAUUGA